GGAAGUUUGGAAUUUCGGGGCACUACUGUAACUGAUACAAGGAGGUUGGAUAUUGUGGACAGAAUGUGGGCAUAUUAGCUUGUUGCUAUGGAGGCAAAAUUAAACAACAGAUAUUGCUUUCCGAGCUUUUGCAGAGAAAGAUCAAGACCAUCUGCAAAUGACACAAGUACACAACGUCCAAGCACAGUGACAUAAUAAUUUAAGGAAGAUAUGUACACAGAGAAGGAGAUAUGUACACCACCAUGUGUUUUCAGUCAAGUAAUACUAGCCAACACGUGGAUCUCAUCCAGCACAGGUCAUGUAGGGUAACAAAUCUGAUUGCCCUGAUGGCCAAUUUGGAUGACCUUAUUGCAAUCUGGUGGCUUAUUGAGAUGGUUUGUGACAACAUUGGUGGGUUUUUCUUUCUGGAAGCAUGACAAAAACUCACAGGUAUGUCAUAACCUGAUGCAAACCUGACGUUAACCUCAAGAACCAGGUGAAACAUGCCACAAAACCCAUGGCAACUAAUGCCAUGAAUAAGGUGCAACAUGACAUAAACCUGGUGGCAAAAGCAAGAACCAGGCGCAGAAUGACAUAAACCUCAUGGAAUUGUCAAGAACCGGAAGUAAACCUACAACUGCCAGUUAUUUGAUAUUAAUUGUGCACCAAGCUUGUUGAAAGAAAGGACACCUGGAAAUGGGAACUCUGAAGUUCAUGGUAAUAAACACUUCAAACAGAUUGAUAAAAAAUUGACCAAGCUAAUCAAAGAUUAGCCAAAGGAAGGCUCAAUGGCUUUAAAAUACCUGUUGCCAAAUAAUACAUACUUUACAGGGUAUGUCUGCUAUGUAAAGAUUUAUCAAAAGCACUGGACACAGGAAGGCUUUGCCUUUGUCAAGUUGCCAAUGACCAAAUAACAUUUCCUUUGACACUGUGUAUACAGAAAGAAGUGGAAUUUUGUGCCUGUAUUGGUCACCCCCGGCUUAGCAGCUGGCUCUUCUGUUGACAUACGGGUGUUUUAUUUCUAGACAGCGUUUACACCAUUGAAAUUGGUAUGACUUAAUAUAUCCUUGAUUGUUGUGUUCCAGACGGACAUCCAAGGAUUCAGUGUUUUAAUGUUUUAAUGUUUUGAAGCAAUAUGAGAAUAGUGACAGCAAACAAACGGAAUUCUUGUAUCAGUAGAUGACAGUUACCACAACUUUUGCGAUGUCAUUUGUAUUGUAUUGUGUUGUGUUGUAUUGUAUUGUAUUGUAUUUUAAAUCAUGUCGUAGUUUAUUGUUUUAGGUACAUUUCUUAUUUCACGAAAAAGUAUAGUAAAUUCUAUAUUAUUCUGUUAUAUUACACUAAGUUAUAUAAGUGAUGAAACGUUAUUAAUCAUUUAUGAUGUAAAAUCGCCUUGCGA
Molecule: long non-coding RNA, 1378 nt
Organism: Lingula anatina
Lineage: Eukaryota; Metazoa; Brachiopoda; Lingulata; Lingulida; Lingulidae
Source: RefSeq, a predicted model, not a curated record